GAUGAACGCUGGCGGCGUGCCUAAUACAUGCAAGUCGAGCGAACAUACGAGGAGCUUGCUCCUCUGACGUUAGCGGCGGACGGGUGAGUAACACGUGGAUAACCUACCUAUAAGACUGGGAUAACUUCGGGAAACCGGAGCUAAUACCGGAUAAUAUAUUGAACCGCAUGGUUCAAUAGUGAAAGACGGUUUUGCUGUCACUUAUAGAUGGAUCCGCGCCGCAUUAGCUAGUUGGUAAGGUAACGGCUUACCAAGGCAACGAUGCGUAGCCGACCUGAGAGGGUGAUCGGCCACAAUGGAACUGAGACACGGUCCAGAAUCCUACGGGAGGCAGCAGUAGGGAAUCUUCCGCAAUGGGCGAAAGCCUGACGGAGCAACGCCGCGUGAGUGAUGAAGGUCUUCGGAUCGUAAAACUCUGUUAUUAGGGAAGAACAAAUGUGUAAGUAACUAUGCACGUCUUGACGGUACCUAAUCAGAAAGCCACGGCUAACUACGUG
This 497-nucleotide ribosomal RNA is filed under the name uncultured bacterium. RNAcentral's name for it is "partial 16S ribosomal RNA". It matches the Rfam family "Bacterial small subunit ribosomal RNA", at positions 28 to 507 of the family's 1533-position model. The record is from RNAcentral.